Molecule: ribosomal RNA, 860 nt
Filed under: uncultured bacterium
Lineage: Bacteria
Description: bacterial SSU rRNA
Rfam family: Bacterial small subunit ribosomal RNA
Source: RNAcentral
AGAGUUUGAUCCUGGCUCAGAACGAACGCUGGCGGCAGGCCUAACACAUGCAAGUCGAGCGAGACCUUCGGGUCUAGCGGCGGACGGGUUAGUAACGCGUGGGAACGUACCCUUUUCUAAGGAAUAGCCACUGGAAACGGUGAGUAAUGCCUUAUACGCCCUUCGGGGGAAAGAUUUAUCGGAGAAGGAUCGGCCCACGUUAGAUUAGAUAGUUGGUGGGGUAAUGGCCUACCAAGUCUACGAUCUAUAGCUGGUUUGAGAGGAUGAUCAGCAACACUGGGACUGAGACACGGCCCAGACUCCUACGGGAGGCAGCAGUGGGGAAUCUUAGACAAUGGGCGCAAGCCUGAUCUAGCCAUGCCGCGUGAGUGAUGAAGGCCUUAGGGUCGUAAAGCUCUUUCGCCUGUGAAGAUAAUGACUGUAGCAGGUAAAGAAACCCCGGCUAACUCCGUGCCAGCAGCCGCGGUAAUACGGAGGGGGUUAGCGUUGUUCGGAAUUACUGGGCGUAAAGCGCGCGUAGGCGGACAUUUAAGUCAGAGGUGAAAUCCCAGGGCUCAACCCUGGAACUGCCUUUGAUACUGGGUGUCUUGAGUUCGAGAGAGGUGAGUGGAAUUCCGAGUGUAGAGGUGAAAUUCGUAGAUAUUCGGAGGAACACCAGUGGCGAAGGCGGCUCACUGGCUCGAUACUGACGCUGAGGUGCGAAAGUGUGGGGAGCAAACGGGAUUAGAUACCCUGGUAGUCCACACCGUAAACGAUGAAUGCCAGUCGUCGGGCAGUAUACUGUUCGGUGACACACCUAACGGAUUAAGCAUUCCGCCUGGGGAGUACGGUCGCAGAUUAAACUCAAAGGAAUUGACGGG